Molecule: ribosomal RNA, 691 nt
Filed under: uncultured Serratia sp.
Lineage: Bacteria; Pseudomonadati; Pseudomonadota; Gammaproteobacteria; Enterobacterales; Yersiniaceae
Description: bacterial SSU rRNA
Rfam family: Bacterial small subunit ribosomal RNA
Source: RNAcentral
GGUAGUCCACGCCGUAAACGAUGUCGACUUGGAGGUUGUUCCCUUGAGGAGUGGCUUCCGGAGCUAACGCGUUAAGUCGACCGCCUGGGGAGUACGGCCGCAAAGUUAAAACUCAAAUGAAUUGACGGGGGCCCGCACAAGCGGUGGAGCAUGUGGUUUAAUUCGAUGCAACGCGAAGAACCUUACCUACUCUUGACAUCCAGAGAACUUAGCAGAGAUGCUUUGGUGCCUUCGGGAACUCUGAGACAGGUGCUGCAUGGCUGUCGUCAGCUCGUGUUGUGAAAUGUUGGGUUAAGUCCCGCAACGAGCGCAACCCUUAUCCUUUGUUGCCAGCGGUUAGGCCGGGAACUCAAAGGAGACUGCCAGUGAUAAACUGGAGGAAGGUGGGGAUGACGUCAAGUCAUCAUGGCCCUUACGAGUAGGGCUACACACGUGCUACAAUGGCGCAUACAAAGAGAAGCGACCUCGCGAGAGCAAGCGGACCUCAUAAAGUGCGUCGUAGUCCGGAUUGGAGUCUGCAACUCGACUCCAUGAAGUCGGAAUCGCUAGUAAUCGUAGAUCAGAAUGCUACGGUGAAUACGUUCCCGGGCCUUGUACACACCGCCCGUCACACCAUGGGAGUGGGUUGCAAAAGAAGUAGGUAGCUUAACCUUCGGGAGGGCGCUUACCACUUUGUGAUUCAUGACUGGGG